RNAcentral lists this long non-coding RNA (668 nucleotides) under Homo sapiens (human). RNAcentral describes it as "non-protein coding LINC01089:21". Lineage: Eukaryota; Metazoa; Chordata; Mammalia; Primates; Hominidae. The record is from RNAcentral.
AAAUGCUAGUCAGCUUUCUUCCCCGUAGCUUGUACACUUUCUUUGAAAAUCGAUCUAUUUGAAGAAAAACAGCCCUGUUUUUCUCGUCUUUGGUGUUGGGGGUUGGGGGGAGCUGGUGGGUGAGGGAAAGGAAGACCUUUUCUUUGUGUAGAGAGACUAAAGCCGUCACAGGAAACUAGAUUAAAACUGGAAAACAAGUCCUAGCUGGUUCCAGCAAACACCAACGUUAAGUGGGGGGUAUUUUCUAUGGUGGUUGGGCGGCUGGUGCGUCUUGUGCCUUUUGUUUGAUUUGACUGUAUUUUCGCCUUUUGUCUCUUAAUGACGAUCACACCAUUGCUAUAUCCAGAGCAGUAAACAGUCCUCAGCGAAGCCGCCUUUUUGCCUACCCAACCCUGGAAAGUUUGCAGAAGUGGAAGGAGCAGAACGUGAGGGUGUAACUUACAAAAAGGUUCUGGGCCGGAGAAGGGGCGACGUUCGGGCACCCCCCGAAUGGACAAUCUUUCCUUCUGUCAACGGCAGGGGCAGGCCUAGUUUGACUCUGACAGUCCUCCCACUAAGGUAGGUGUGAGUACUUGCCCAGACCGUGAGGGAGAUUUGGGGGGCUCUGGCCUGCAGCCCAGGGAGGGCCGAACCCCAAACACGCCGGGCUGGUUCUGCGGCCCCGCCCC